Molecule: ribosomal RNA, 637 nt
Filed under: uncultured fungus
Lineage: Eukaryota; Fungi
Description: eukaryotic LSU rRNA
Rfam family: 5.8S ribosomal RNA (bases 279-432)
Source: RNAcentral
CUUGGUCAUUUAGAGGAAGUAAAAGUCGUAACAAGGUUUCCGUAGGUGAACCUGCGGAAGGAUCAUUACAAAUAAAGCCGGAAGGAAGUGGGGUCUUGAUGUGUAAGUGGUAGAGCGAACAGUCCGGCUGCCUCCCGAAAUGUCUUGCAUGUCCCCCAUGGCCCGAAGGCCGAAUUACAACCCUUGAUUAUUUACACUUGUUGCUUUGGGGUGCUCAAGUGCCCCAGAGGACCAAAACUCUUGCAUUUAUUGACGUCUGAGUACUAUAUAAUAGUUAAAACUUUCAACAACGGAUCUCUUGGUUCUGGCAUCGAUGAAGAACGCAGCGAAAUGCGAUAAGUAAUGUGAAUUGCAGAAUUCAGUGAAUCAUCGAAUCUUUGAACGCACAUUGCGCCCUCUGGUAUUCCGGAGGGCAUGCCUGUUCGAGCGUCAUUAGACCAAUCAAGCACGGCUUGGUGUUGGGGCCCGCCGGUGGCGGCCCUUAAAAACAGUGGCGGUGCCGUCUGGCUCUCAGCGUAGUAAUUUUUCUUGCUAUUGGGUCCGGCUGGUUGCUUGCCAUCAACCCCUAAUUUACUCAGGUUGACCUCGGAUCAGGUAGGGAUACCCGCUGAACUUAAGCAUAUCAAUAAGCGGAGGA